This 403-nucleotide ribosomal RNA is filed under the name bacterium. RNAcentral's name for it is "partial 16S ribosomal RNA". It matches the Rfam family "Bacterial small subunit ribosomal RNA", at positions 355 to 776 of the family's 1533-position model. The record is from RNAcentral.
UGGGGAAUAUUGCACAAUGGGGGAAACCCUGAUGCAGCGACGCCGCGUGAACGAAGAAGGUAUUCGUAUCGUAAAGUUCUGUCCUAUGGGAAGAUAAUGACAGUACCAUAGAAGAAAGCUCCGGCUAAAUACGUGCCAGCAGCCGCGGUAAUACGUAUGGAGCGAGCGUUGUCCGGAAUUAUUGGGCGUAAAGGGUACGCAGGCGGUUUAAUAAGUCGAAUGUUAAAGAUCGGGGCUCAACCCCGUAAAGCAUUGGAAACUGAUAAACUUGAGUAGUGGAGAGGAAAGUGGAAUUCCUAGUGUAGUGGUGAAAUACGUAGAUAUUAGGAGGAAUACCAGUAGCGAAGGCGACUUUCUGGACACAAACUGACGCUGAGGUACGAAAGCGUGAGGAGCAAACAGG